Homo sapiens (human) is the source of this 1838-nucleotide long non-coding RNA. Ensembl annotates it as long intergenic non-protein coding RNA 1539. Lineage: Eukaryota; Metazoa; Chordata; Mammalia; Primates; Hominidae. The record is from Ensembl.
AGCACAGCGUGUCACCAGAGAGGAAAAGAAUAUCCUUGCUGUGCCAAGAAAGAAAAGACCAUGGAUCUACUAGUUGCAGAUUUCAGCAGUAAUGCCAAGGGGGCAAGAAGUGACCAGCAGAACAAUUAGGCCAUGGCAACAGAAGCCAACUACAACCCAUGUUCCAAUCUAUGACCUCCCUCUCCUGCUGGUACAAGGAUAUGGGCAAGAGCUGAUAAUCAACUGACUAAUGAGGAUUGACUUCUACAAUUGAUGAGCAUGGAAUUGGAUGUGCCUAAAUCAACAGAAGAGGGAUUUUGAUGUCAUCACACUGUAGCCCCAGAAGACAGAACGCUCAAAGGUGUCAAUGGGCAGAAUUUGUAGAUGACAUACAGCAUCCAAUGGAUUACUCCUAUUCAGUAUUCCUUAGAGCAAAGGAUGCAAUGUCAAGCAAGUUGUGAUACCUCAACUAUCUACAAUUUAACACCAAGGAAAGAACACUGUUUGGAGAAAUGAGAAAGAUUAUCAUCAGUGUCUUUCAGAAGUCAUCAAAAGAAGAAAAGGAGAAAAGAGAGGAGAAAGCAGAAAGAUCUGGAGUCUGGGAAGUUCAAGAGCAUGGCACCAACAUCUGGCAAGGGCUUUCAUUCUGCAUCAUCUCAUGGAGGAAAAUAAAAAGGAGGCUGGAUGCUCCUGUGAAGUACGUCUUUUAUCUACUUGCUAUCUUUGCAAUUCCUUCAUGCUACAAUGAGAGAUAGAGUUUAAACCUGAAAACAUUCUUGGAAAAGGAAUCUUCAUUAAUUCAAAUAUACCACAAGGUUCUGCCACUGUGGCCAUCACCUGGGAUUGGAGAAAGGCAAAUGGAACAGACCAACUCAGAAUUACAGUCCUCAUUUAUUUCAUCAGAGGUUGGCCUGUACUUACAUUAGCCCUUUCUGGCUAGAGCUUCAUGUCUCACCCACUGUCUGUUCACUUCUGACCUGAAACAAUGGGACUGCAGAAGAGAGAAGGAAAAUAUCUGGUGGUCAGGCUAACUCUGUGUACCCCAUGAUGAAGAUGUUUUCCAUAGGAGUUCAUUGUCACAGUGUCUUCCAGAGUCCUCACGAGUAUCAGAGAAGGCAUAAUCUGUACACGUGGCUUCAUUUAAAAUGAAAAUAUCAAGCAGUGUCAUUUUCACAAGUAUCCCCACACUGUCUGAGGCUGAAAAGAAGAGUGUAGCUAUGCACACUGCAGUGAGAAGAAAAUUUCAGCUCAAUUGGAGGAUGUAAAGAUUGAAAUACCACUGCUCCUAGUUCUGAUGCAAAAUUGAAAAGAGUGCACUGGGUCUUCAAAUGGCAUAUUGACAAGGAGAAAGAGGAAAGGAUGCCCCAGGACAGCCUGGGGGUCAAGGCUGGGCUCAGGCAUGCCUGGACAAGCCAUGCAAGUUGUCUCCGGACUUGAACCACGUAUCAGAGGAGCUAUUUGAGGAGCCACAUCAGCAUACCUGCUUCUGUGGGCCCCCAGGCUGUGGUGCUCAGCCCUUGCACUAUGAAACAUUUUUUUUUUCCAGAAGCCAAAGCUUUGAGCAUCUCCUCCCAUGUAGAGAGUGUAUAUGUUUACGUCCAUGUCUUUCGCCAUGUGAACGCAUGCAACCACCACCUCAAAUAUCAUAAAUCCUCUCUCUCCCCCUUUCUGUCUGCCUGUUUAUCUACAAUCUGUCUAUUUAAAUUCUUUUUAAACAAGAAGGGAAUAUCUUUAUGCCUGUUUGUAGGGAUAUUCUACAUCCAUCUGUUAUUUACAUCAUUCGUUUUCCUGAGGUGUCUCCAACAAAUCCUGGCUGGAUGCACUGUAUGUGUUAUUAAUAAAACAGCUGUAAAAAUAUU